UGGCUCUCGCAUCGAUGAAGAACGCAGCGAAAUGCGAUAAGUAAUGUGAAUUGCAGAAUUCAGUGAAUCAUCGAAUCUUUGAACGCACCUUGCGCCCUUUGGUAAUCCGAGGGGCAUGCCUGUUUGAGUGUCUUGAAGCCCUCAAGCCCAAGGUCCGCCUUGAGGCUUGGAUUUGGACCUCUGCCGGUCGCGUCGAGCGUCGGCUGGCCCGAAAUACAUUAGCUGACUACUGUGGUCGGCGGCCUGGUGUGAUAAAAUCACCCGCUGGGUCGUCACCUCUGUUGGUGGUUGCUUCUAGCCGUCUCGAGAGAGACAAUUCUUAAGCGUUUGACCUCAAAUCAGGUAGGACUACCCGCUGA
This 359-nucleotide unclassified non-coding RNA is filed under the name uncultured fungus. RNAcentral's name for it is "partial contains 5.8S ribosomal RNA and internal transcribed spacer 2". The stretch from base 1 to 133 matches the Rfam family "5.8S ribosomal RNA", at positions 22 to 154 of the family's 154-position model. The record is from RNAcentral. Lineage: Eukaryota; Fungi.